GGGGAGAAUGGAUUUGGUGGUCCCCGCGGGCUGCAAACCCGUCGGCCUGCCUGAGUACCAGGUGGGAGUCCGGUUCGAUUCCGACUUCUCCCC
Molecule: transfer RNA, 93 nt
Filed under: Desulfoscipio gibsoniae DSM 7213
Lineage: Bacteria; Bacillati; Bacillota; Clostridia; Eubacteriales; Desulfallaceae
Description: Desulfotomaculum gibsoniae DSM 7213 Selenocysteine transfer RNA
Rfam family: Selenocysteine transfer RNA
Source: Rfam by way of RNAcentral